GAUGAAGAACGCAGUGAAAUGCGAUACGUAAUGUGAAUUGCAGAAUUCAGUGAAUCAUCGAGUCUUUGAACGCACAUUGCGCCCCUUGGUAUUCCGAGGGGCAUGCCUGUUCGAGCGUCAUUAUAACCCCUCAAGCUCAGCUUGGUGUUGGGGCCUGCCGCACGGGCAGCCCUUAAAAUCAGUGGCGGUGCUAUCUGGCUCUAAGCGUAGUAAUUCUUCUCGCUAUAGAGUCCCGGUGGAUGCUUGCCAUUAACCCCCAAUUUUCUAUGGUUGACCUCGGAUCAGGUAGGGAUACCCGCUGAACUUAAGCAUAUCAAUAAGCGGAGGA
RNAcentral lists this unclassified non-coding RNA (328 nucleotides) under soil metagenome. RNAcentral's name for it is "partial contains 5.8S ribosomal RNA, internal transcribed spacer 2, and large subunit ribosomal RNA". The stretch from base 1 to 120 matches the Rfam family "5.8S ribosomal RNA", at positions 35 to 154 of the family's 154-position model. The record is from RNAcentral.